Long non-coding RNA from Dicentrarchus labrax (European seabass), 3023 nucleotides. RefSeq lists it as uncharacterized. The transcript is spliced from 3 exons. The record is from RefSeq and is a predicted model, not a curated record. NCBI's taxonomy places the organism in Eukaryota, Metazoa, Chordata, Actinopteri, Moronidae.
UAACGAAACAUUCGUGCGAAAAUGAAAGUAUGUGGGUUUAAGGGAUUUUUUUCUCUCAUUGACUCCUCCCCUUGUCCUUACUGUUAAGGUUGCUGACUGAAGGGCCAGCUGUAGACCCAGGUUCCUGCCAGGGUUCAGGACCCAGUGGUUACUGGUGGCUGUCACGUCAAACACCAACCAGCCCUCCUCGGCUGCCCAGAUCACCCGUGAGUCCAACAGAAACAAGUCCGACUCCCUGAAGGAGCACAAAUUCACAAUUUCACACUUAAAGUCAGAUAUGGACAAAGAGUUUCACCAUGAGCACACUGACACACAGCUCAGCAGAAUGGAGAGACAGACAGCAGAGAGAGCUGACGAUGGCUGCCCCGUGCAUGAAAGCGUUGUGAGUAAAAACAGCUGUGUGACAGCAGACAUAAAACAAAAGAUUGGCUCGGGUCAAUAAAGCUCAAUAUGGCCAAUACUGAUCAGUUAAAAAAUUCCUUGAUUGGUGCCGAUACCAAUCUUUUAGAUUGGUUCGUGACAUCCCUAAAUUAUGUGUUAAUUGUUAUUAAUUAUGAUUACUACUUAUUUAAAGCUUUAUAUUUUUUAAAGGCCCAACUGGGAAGGGCAUUGGAUUCAGCUUAGGCUAUAAAUGCUGUGGUGUGUGGCAUUUGAUGGCUGAAUUCCAUUUGGCUACUUUAGUUUUGGGGUCCUGGCAUUGUGCAUCCUGGGUCAUCGCUUACUCGGACACUCGAAUAGAACGGAGCCAUUGUUAAUGUUAUUAGUAUUACCAGUGUUUUUCCUGUUAAGAGAAAUGAAAAUGCCCACAAACACAUAACCAGAUACCCAUGCUCACCUAUCAGAGUGUUCCUCCAACACCUGGUAGACGCUGAUGCGGAAGGUCUCAUUAUCAUAACGUUCAUGGAUGAAGUCUUUAUAUAUACGAAACUCAGCAGCAGUGACCGCCUCACCCUCUGGGAUCCGUGAUAGAUCAAAUCUGAACUCUCUGUGAUGCCGCCGCACUGGUAGGAAUUCCUUAUCAUGCUCCACUGCAAAAAAGAAAAUUAAAUAAAAAUGAAACAUAAAAAGUAUGACAGUGUAUGUUUGCAGAUCAUGUUGCUUCUUUUCAUGAUCUCUUUUGUUUCCCCCCUUUACUGCUGUCCCAGUCCAGCUCCACCAACAGACUCAAAAACUCUUUCGUCCCCCUGGCAAUCAGACUGUACAACACCUCUCAGUAAAGGCAGGGAGGACAAUAGAUAAUAGACAAUGGACAAUUUCUACCUCCAUUUGCACUAUUUUACUUCCAUUGGCACUCCACUCCAUUUGCACUGUUUACUGUUUGCACUGUUUACUGUAGCCACUGUUAAUUUUAUAUAUAUAUAUAUAUAAUAUUUUAUAUUUUUAUCUUUUAUUUUAAAUUCUAUUCUUAAGGUUAGGGUUUUUAAUUUUAGUUUAAUGUAUGUUUAAUGUAUGAAAUGUAUGUUUAGCAUUUUGUAUGCUACUGGAUACUUGAAUUUCCCUUGGGAUAAAUAAAGUAUCUAUCUAUCUAUCUAUCUAUCUAUCUAUCUAUCUAUCUAUCUAUCUAUCUAUCUAUCUAUCUAUCUAUCUAUCUAUCUAUCUAUCUAUCUAUCUAUCUAUCUAUCUUUACCAACAGGGAUACAAAAUGUGUGCUGCAAGACAAAGAGGGGUAUCGUAUAAAACAAAAAACACUUCAUGUGGUACUGAGCUGCUCUUAUAGAGAAACAAAACAUGUUUGCAAAAGAGGUAGAGAGAGCAAAUAUCUUUUUCUCUCAAUUUAUUCUUUCUCCACAGUCCAUCAACCUCAGUUGUUAGCAAGAAGCUGACACAGCUUUUCAGACUCUGGCUCAGUUCCAGAUUAAAAACAUCUAUAGAUAUGCAGUACACAUGUUGGUUUAUGAUCGAAACAUUUAUGAGGACUAGCACUAGGAGCAAUGCAUCUGGCACACACUGAGCCAAUGAUAGAGAGAUGCAGGCGGACUCUGACAGCUUUAUGAGCCCCUUUCUUCUCCCUCUCUUCCUCUAAUAGCUCCAGAGAGUCAUCCAGUCUGCCCUUCAUCUGGUUCUCAUGAGUUGGGGCUCCAUGUUUGGCGUACCCCAUCCUCAUCCCAGCUCCCGCUCUCCACCUCCUCCCUGCACCCCCAAGAUGUGGCCCCCUUGACCCUGCUCCUCUCAUGUCCCAGCAGGAUAUCCCAGGGGUCAGCGCCUUGUCUCUCAUCAUCUCUUGGCUCUCCCUCCACCUCUCUUCAUCAACUGUCAGACAGACCCCCCACACGUACAUGCAUCCAUAGAUAUACAAAUAAAUACAUAAAGACACGCACAACAUAAACACACUCAGUGAUUUCUAACCUAGCAAAAACCAUGUCUAUGUCCAUGUCUAACCCCUGUCUAUAUAGUUUAGUGCUGGUUGCUGAAACAAUUAAUUUAUUCAGUGAAUAAAAGGCCCAAAAUUAGUUUGGACGAAUCAAUAGGUCAAACCAAAGUCAACAUCAGUGUGGCUUUUCAACAAUGGCGAGAACCAAGGGAUUGAGGGUUUGUGGGGAAUUUAUUAUUUUCCUGAACUAUGUGAAAUAUGUAUGAAUGACACAUGAGGUAGUUGGAUACGGUUAGUGAUGACAACUCUGCACUGUGCUCCUCUCAGGCACUGCGUGUUCAUGUGUGUUAGGUGAGCGGCUUUGGAAGGAGACCUGAGGGUAGGGGGUAGGAUUUUUUUGGUUGGAUACUUUCAAAAUUUAGCUGUCUCUUGCUAGUUUCUCCAACAUUACCUAGCCAAGCUUCAAUUUCCAAUAGUUGUUGAGAUGUUUCACUCAAACCACAACUGUGAACCUCACGGUGGUGCUAGAGGGAAAGUCAAGGGAAUCCAUCUAACAUAUUUCAGUCUCGACCAAAGUGGUGGACGGACUAAGUGACCAACAGACCAACGGAGACAUCCCUAGGGCCAGCAUGGCUAAACAUAAUUAACCAAUCAAUCAAUAAUGAAAAAUAAUUGUAAAAAAAACAGUACUAAUAAAGUUAUAUAACAACCA